Molecule: ribosomal RNA, 467 nt
Filed under: uncultured bacterium
Lineage: Bacteria
Description: partial 16S ribosomal RNA
Rfam family: Bacterial small subunit ribosomal RNA
Source: RNAcentral
ACGAACGCUGGCGGCGUGCUUAACACAUGCCAGUCGAACGGAAAGGCCCUGCUUUUGUGGGGUGCUCGAGUGGCGAACGGGAGAGUAACACGUGAGUAACCUGCCCUUGACUUUGGGAUAACUUCAGGAAACUGGGGCUAAUACCGGAUAGGAGCUCCUGCUGCAUGGUGGGGGUUGGAAAGUUUCGGCGGUUGGGGAUGGACUCGCGGCUUAUCAGCUUGUUGGUGGGGUAGUGGCUUACCAAGGCUUUGACGGGUAGCCGGCCUGAGAGGGUGACCGGCCACAUUGGGACUGAGAUACGGCCCAGACUCCUACGGGAGGCAGCAGUGGGGAAUAUUGCACAAUGGGCGGAAGCCUGAUGCAGCAACGCCGCGUGCGGGAUGACGGCCUUCGGGUUGUAAACCGCUUUCGCCUGUGACGAAGCGUGAGUGACGGUAAUGGGUAAAGAAGCACCGGCUAACUACGUG